UUGAUAGACUAAUAGGGUGUCCAGGGCAGCACCUGAAGGAAGUAAUUCCGGACCGCAAAUGCUCUAUAUGGCGGUAUAAAAGCCGAUGUGAGGCUCUCGGAACGGCUAUACGAGCUCUAUCACGGCAAUGAGGACUGGCCCUAUGGGAUUGGCGGUGGAUAAGGCCUCUUCUGAAGGGAAGUUGUCAUUAUCCUCCAAUGGGCGAACCCAGCGAGACCAGGGAUGGAGCAGCGUAAGUCCUAACGUGCGAUGCUCAUAGGAUACUGGUCUGAGACCAGAUAGAGAAGUUCGGUAAUCGGGAAGGUGUCGAGUGUCGGGUCUAUCAA
This 326-nucleotide signal recognition particle RNA is filed under the name Candidatus Helarchaeota archaeon. Its description in RNAcentral is "signal recognition particle sRNA". It matches the Rfam family "Archaeal signal recognition particle RNA". Lineage: Archaea; Promethearchaeati; Candidatus Helarchaeota. The record is from RNAcentral.